Choloepus didactylus (southern two-toed sloth) is the source of this 1679-nucleotide long non-coding RNA. RefSeq lists it as uncharacterized. The transcript has 4 exons. The record is from RefSeq and is a predicted model, not a curated record. NCBI's taxonomy places the organism in Eukaryota, Metazoa, Chordata, Mammalia, Pilosa, Megalonychidae.
GCGCUGGCGGCGCGGGCUUCCUCCCCGGAGGUCGGGGUCCUUGCAGCCCGUGGCCGCGUCCUCGGCUCUCCGCCAGGGAAACCUCGAUUUUCCAAACUCGGGAAGGUCGGCUGUCCUUCGGCUACUGAUAAGGUCGCGAGCGCCUGGUCAAAGAUGUUAGCAAUAAAGGGAAAGAGAGAGCCGGACCCAGGAAAGAGACUAAUAAUAGCCGCCAGCUAGAGCUCUGCUCGUGUGCUCAGCGCUUUUAAGAAACAAUAAUAACGACAACCACCAUAAUAGCCACCAUUUAUUGAGCGCUUACUCUGUGCCAGGCACUGUGUUAAGCGCUUGCAGGCAACAGCCCUCCGAGAACCCGCAAUCUUGGCCACAGGCGAUGCCACCUCCAAACCGCCUCCGACGGCCCAGCAGAUUUUGGCCCCGGGUCCCAAGAGGCGCGGCCCCUGCGGGGUUUGGUGGGUUCCGGCAGCCUCCGAUCCUCGGGUGAACCGGGUGGUUCCGGAGCAUUAUCCCUGCUCAACCCGCAGGCGUCAGAUGUACCCACCACAUAAUUUUAUCCACCCAAUGGAAUUCCUGGAUUGGGGGUCUCCAAACCGUCUCUAGUGCCUUCUCCAGCAUGAAAGAGAUUUUCUCAGCUCCUUCCAGAAGGGUGCGUAAGUGGCAGGCAGGCCAUGCAUGCUGGUGUCUGAAGGCGUCCCACCUUGGAGACCCCGGGGCUCGUCUAGACCGCUCCAAGGAACAGGGUCUUGACUCACGGGCUCCCCCUCUGGAUGCCUCUGCCAGUUUUCCCUGGGUUGUCAGAGACUGCCCUUCUCCACAGCCCCUCCAGCUGCAGUUCAGAACAACCCUCCCUUCCAUGCCUGAUUAGACUCAUUCUCCGUGCCUCCCCCAGGGAUGCCUGGGUUUGUGAAGCAGCUGUGUGAUGCCAGUCCCCGUAAGGAACAAGUUCACCGAUGGGUACGUGUAAGGCCUACUCUAGGAGAACCUAAGUCUUUGCCCAGGGGCCUCAGAGCCACUAAGCCCCUCUGGGUCCCCACUGUAGAGAGACUCCUGGUGGGCACAUCCAAGAAGGUGCAGCAAGGGAUCAGGGUAACAGAGUAAACACCACUGGGCCCCUCACCCUGAUCCCUGGGCACCUGGUACUUGCCAGAGCUGAGAAGUGUGGCUCCCCUGGGCCCACAGCCAUUCAUUUUCCUCCAGGGAAUUGGUCCACCCUUCAGUUCUGGAGGCUCCAAAAACAUUCCUCAGAGCAUCUGGAAUAUAUAUUUGCUUCAAUUGGUGAUUGCCGAGGCCAGCUCAGCUGGUUUUCUGUUUGUUUCACUUAGCCAUGGGGGCUGAAGAUGGUCGCUGAGGAUGGGGGCAUCCAGGGCCCCCAGGGACCCUCGGUGUGCAUGGCCAAGGAUAAUGGGAGCCCCCGCCUGCUGGAACGGUGUGUGUGAUGGCUUGACCCUACCCCCUUGGCCUGCUUCUCGAGAAGGGACGCCCUGGGCAGGGCCAGUGGGAGUUAAAAGCUGAGUCUGCAAAGGCCCCAGCCCUCUCCCCAACCCCUGAUUGCUGUGUAGCUCAUCCAAUCCUAGAGUCUGAUACAGUGGAAAAUUAAGUCCAACAGACCCAAGUUCAAAUUUCCAACUUUCCUGCUUAACAGCUGUGUGACCUUGGACAAGUAACUUCUCUGAACUUCA